This 836-nucleotide ribosomal RNA is filed under the name Bacillus subtilis. RNAcentral's name for it is "bacterial SSU rRNA". It matches the Rfam family "Bacterial small subunit ribosomal RNA", at positions 36 to 854 of the family's 1533-position model. The record is from RNAcentral. Lineage: Bacteria; Bacillati; Bacillota; Bacilli; Caryophanales; Bacillaceae.
CUGGCGGCGUGCCUAAUCAUGCAAGUCGAGCGGACAGAUGGGAGCUUGCUCCCUGAUGUUAGCGGCGGACGGGUGAGUAACACGUGGGUAACCUGCCUGUAAGACUGGGAUAACUCCGGGAAACCGGGGCUAAUACCGGAUGCUUGUUUGAACCGCAUGGUUCAAACAUAAAAGGUGGCUUCGGCUACCACUUACAGAUGGACCCGCGGCGCAUUAGCUAGUUGGUGAGGUAAUGGCUCACCAAGGCGACGAUGCGUAGCCGACCUGAGAGGGUGAUCGGCCACACUGGGACUGAGACACGGCCCAGACUCCUACGGGAGGCAGCAGUAGGGAAUCUUCCGCAAUGGACGAAAGUCUGACGGAGCAACGCCGCGUGAGUGAUGAAGGUUUUCGGAUCGUAAAGCUCUGUUGUUAGGGAAGAACAAGUACCGUUCGAAUAGGGCGGUACCUUGACGGUACCUAACCAGAAAGCCACGGCUAACUACGUGCCAGCAGCCGCGGUAAUACGUAGGUGGCAAGCGUUGUCCGGAAUUAUUGGGCGUAAAGGGCUCGCAGGCGGUUUCUUAAGUCUGAUGUGAAAGCCCCCGGCUCAACCGGGGAGGGUCAUUGGAAACUGGGGAACUUGAGUGCAGAAGAGGAGAGUGGAAUUCCACGUGUAGCGGUGAAAUGCGUAGAGAUGUGGAGGAACACCAGUGGCGAAAGCGACUCUCUGGUCUGUAACUGACGCUGAAGAGCGAAAGCGUGGGGAGCGAACAGGAUUAGAUACCCUGGUAGUCCCCGCCGUAAACGAUGAGUGCUAAGUGUUAGGGGGUUUCCCCCCCUUAUUGCUGCAGCUA